CUCACAUCUUGGAUGGAUUUGCCUUAUACGUAUUAGGAGGUGAAUAUAAGUUUCUUAUUCUUGAGAAAAGAAAGAAAUAUCCACUUCAGUGUUUUGGGAUUUGAAUUAUUCUAUCUUCCUAAUCAAACCGUAAUCGUUAGACCUCACUUCAGGCCGUCCACUAUAUACAGGCCUUUUCAUUUUUGGCCCUUUCGCUUUAUCUCUUCGUUGUACGUUGGUUACAUCUUGACGAUUAGCUUAUUGUUACCUUUGUUACGGUACUACAAGAAGUCUCUGACAACCAGAAAAUCAUUGAUUACAACUAUAAUACUUACCACAGAAUCUCAAGAUUAUUUAUGAACACACCAGAUCUCUACAAAGUUUCGAACGAAGAGAAUAUCCAUUGAAGAAAGAUAUACGCUGGCAACACCUUGAUCAGGCGAGCUCUUUCCAUUAUUUCUAUUGCUUUACUUAUAUUAAUAUUACACCUCUUGUUGCUUGUCAAUUAUCCUGUUUAUUAGUUACAUUUGAAUGCUGCUUUUUGGCUGUGAAGCCUUAUCUACCAGUGAUUCUGGAAGAAAAAAUACAACUAACUAAAUAUCACAACUCUGAAAUUAUAUUUACUUACCACUUACUAGUUUAUAUAUAUGUAAACUCUGAUGUAUAUAUACAUAGGGGUAUCAAAUGAUCAUGUCCUUCUCCCCAUGCUGAUUGAAUGUGAAUGUAGUUAAGUCUACUUGCAACUUGCACAACGAAUAAAUCCACUUCCUAUCA
This is a long non-coding RNA of Leptinotarsa decemlineata (Colorado potato beetle), 753 nucleotides long. The record is from RefSeq and is a predicted model, not a curated record. NCBI's taxonomy places the organism in Eukaryota, Metazoa, Arthropoda, Insecta, Coleoptera, Chrysomelidae.